RNAcentral lists this ribosomal RNA (432 nucleotides) under uncultured bacterium. RNAcentral's name for it is "partial 16S ribosomal RNA". It matches the Rfam family "Bacterial small subunit ribosomal RNA", at positions 29 to 507 of the family's 1533-position model. The record is from RNAcentral.
ACGAACGCUGGCGGCAUGCCUAACACAUGCAAGUCGAACGAGACCUUCGGGUCUAGUGGCGCACGGGUGCGUCACGCGUGGGAACCUGCCCUUAGGUUCGGAAUAACUCCCCGAAAGGGGUGCUAAUACCGGAUAAUGUCUUCGGACCAAAGAUUUAUCGCCUUUGGAUGGGCCCGCGUUGGAUUAGCUAGUUGGUAGGGUAAAAGCCUACCAAGGCGACGAUCCAUAGCUGGUCUGAGAGGAUGAUCAGCCACACUGGGACUGAGACACGGCCCAGACUCCUACGGGAGGCAGCAGUGGGGAAUAUUGGACAAUGGGCGAAAGCCUGAUCCAGCAAUGCCGCGUGAGUGAUGAAGGCCUUAGGGUUGUAAAGCUCUUUUACCCGGGAUGAUAAUGACAGUACCGGGAGAAUAAGCUCCGGCUAACUCCGUG